Molecule: ribosomal RNA, 212 nt
Filed under: uncultured bacterium
Lineage: Bacteria
Description: partial 16S ribosomal RNA
Rfam family: Bacterial small subunit ribosomal RNA
Source: RNAcentral
AUUGAACGCUGGCGGAAUGCUUUACACAUGCAAGUCGAGCGGCAGCGCGGGGGCAACCCUGGCGGCGAGCGGCGAACGGGUGAGUAAUACAUCGGAACGUGUCCUUGAGUGGGGAUAGCUCGGCGAAAGCCGGAUUAAUACCGCAUAAGCUCUGAGGAGGAAAGCGGGGGACCUGGUAACGGGCCUCGCGCUGUUGGAGCGGCCGAUGUCGG